AUGUCCCGCUACCUGCGCCCCCCCCAACACAUCUCUGUUCGUAAGGAACGUGGCCGACGAUACCAGGUCCGAAGAUUUACAAAGAGAAUUUGGUCGUUAUGGUCCUAUAGUUGAUGUGUAUGUUCCACUUGAUUUCUACACGCGCCGUCCAAGAGGAUUUGCUUAUGUUCAAUUUGAGGAUGUCCGUGAUGCCGAAGACGCUUUACAUAAUUUGGACAGAAAAUGGAUUUGUGGACGCCAAAUUGAAAUACAGUUUGCACAGGGGGAUCGGAAGACUCCAAAUCAAAUGAAAGCCAAGGAGGGGAGGAAUGUAUACAGCUCUUCACGCUAUGAUGAUUAUGACAGAUACAGACGUUCUAGAAGCCGGAGUUAUGAAAGAAGAAGAUCAAGAAGCCGGUCCUUUGAUUACAACUAUAGAAGAUCUUAUAGUCCUAGAAACAGGAGACCGGCUGGAAGACCACGGCGUAGCAGAAGCCAUUCCGACAAUGAUAGACCAAACUGCAGCUGGAAUACCCAGUACAGUUCUGCUUACUACACUUCAAGAAAGAUCUGAGAAAGCGGAAAAAGAACCAAAGAAGGGCAGUUCAAGCGACCAAAGGGUGGGUGGAAGGUGCUGCAGUAUGAAUACUGUACGAAUAUUUUGACUCUGGUCUGAAAAGAUAAAAGAAUGUUAUCGAAACUACAUGGAAUAAUUGAAGUCCCUUCAAGUUUGAAAGUAAGCAUUUUAGGACAAAUAAAAGGAAAUUCAACUUUGUACUUGUGGAAACUAAUCCCUAAAUCUGAAUAGGUUUAUAUUGAUUCAUGGGUAACAGGUCCAUAAUAAAUGAAUGGAAACUAGGAUGUCUGAAUAUCAAGGAAGACAGCCAUAGUCUCUUACAGUGCCUCUGUUGGUCUGUCUCAAACGGAAGUGGGUGAGAAAAGGCAUGGUCCAAUAUAAACUUUUUCUUGGUUGUCUCUUAAAGUCAGUUCCAUUUUUGCUAUUGGCAAAUCUUGCCUUUGUUUAUUCCAGUGCCAGUGUUUUUCUGCUUAAUGAUUUGCUUUGUUGGCAUCUAAGUUUAUUUACUUGUAUGCCAUGUGCAGUUUACAUCUUCCUUAUGUUCUCUUUCCCAGGUAAAUUCCAGUUGUAAUACUUGACAUCUAGCUAAGAGGGUCCAUCUUGUCUCACCUCUGUCCUAAGUCAGUAUAUUCAGCAAACAUUUAUUUACUGAGCCCUUACUGUGGGCAAAAAUUGUACUGGGUAAUUGGGGAGAAAAUUCACUUACUUAAUGUCUACUGAGCACAAUCUAGUGAAUCAUUACAGUAUGGCCUCAUUGUUUUGAGGUGUAUUCUAACUGUUUUACACCAUUCAUAUCUUAAUGUAAUUAUAAAACCCAGAAUACUAUCAAAGAUAAUUUUGUGAUUAUCUGCCAUUUAAAAGUAUCCAGUAUUUGUUUGCAUCCCAUUAAUACAAAUAAUGAAAAAAUGUUUUAAUCUGUAAUAAACUGAUUUAUUGUGCAGUGACUGUAAUAUACUAGAGUUAUAUUAAAUUGUUAACUCUGCCUCCUCAAACACAUAUUAGGAAAUAAUCCCCAAAAUAAGUAUUUAACUUUGCAUUAGAUAUAAAGGAGACUCUGGGUGCUAUAAUUAGAUUAUUUUGAGGCAGACAGAGAGCUGUUAUCCCAACUGAUUUAGUAUGUUCUGUAAUUGAGAAAAUGUUCACCAGAUUAUACUUUUUAGUGAUUUACAUGUACAUUUUAUAGGGGACAUGUUCUGUGUAUAGUGAAUAAAUAACUUUUAUAGUAUCAC
This is an RNA transcript of Neomonachus schauinslandi (Hawaiian monk seal), 1785 nucleotides long. It is a transcript of the gene named serine/arginine-rich splicing factor 10-like, with no coding region annotated. The record is from RefSeq and is a predicted model, not a curated record. NCBI's taxonomy places the organism in Eukaryota, Metazoa, Chordata, Mammalia, Carnivora, Phocidae. The transcript has a single exon.